RNAcentral lists this long non-coding RNA (736 nucleotides) under Homo sapiens (human). RNAcentral describes it as "non-protein coding lnc-KIAA1614-3:1". Lineage: Eukaryota; Metazoa; Chordata; Mammalia; Primates; Hominidae. The record is from RNAcentral.
AAAGUAGUCAAAAACCCAUGUGCAACUUUUUUUCAGCACUCUACCAUUAGGCUCCUUAGGCAAGCUGCUUAACUUCCGUCAGAAGCAAAGGUGUGGGAGAACACCAUUCACCUCAGUAGUAACUUAUAAAAACCGUUUAAAGAAGGAAAAUGGGCCCCAGCCCCUAGGAUCCCUGACUUCCUGAUAUUCUAAACAUGAGAGUUCUGUGACUUUAACUGAGCUCUUUACCAGAAGUAACGUGUUGAUGUAUAUUAUCUUUCCACCAUGCUUUGACCAAAGUACAUUCACAGUAACUAGAGAAAGCAGAUCAUCCAUUUCUGGAUAGGUGAACUACGGCAAGGCAGUUAGGAAAGUACGUGAGCCUGAUGACGCGAAGGUGAUGCCUCCAUCUGUCCGCUUAGUGGUUAUUAAAUUGCUGGGAAAGACCUGCCUUUAUUUUCCUAUCAUCUUUUCCCCAUUACUUUGCAUUAUUCAGGAAAUAAUUAUUUAUUCCCAAAUGCAGUUUUCUAAGCAGUGACCACAAAAAUUUCUUAUUCUAAGGAAAAUAAUUAAGAAAAUAACCCUAUCUGUGGCAUUGUUUUAAAAUGUGGGAUACAAAUCUGGUAAGCAGAUUUCAGGUCAUUAUUGUUUUCUUUUAAUGGUUUACAUGAAAUUUUCCUCUCAAAAAACAAGUACCUCUUACUGUAUAACAUUUGAGUUUUUAAAAUUGAGAUAGCUUCUGAGAGAAAAAAAGAAA